This 460-nucleotide ribosomal RNA is filed under the name uncultured bacterium. Its description in RNAcentral is "partial 16S ribosomal RNA". It matches the Rfam family "Bacterial small subunit ribosomal RNA", at positions 338 to 795 of the family's 1533-position model. The record is from RNAcentral.
CCUACGGGAGGCAGCAGUGAGGAAUAUUGGUCAAUGGGCUUACGCCUGAACCAGCCAAGUCGCGUGAGGGAAGACUGCCCUAUGGGUUGUAAACCUCUUUUGUCAGGGAGCAACGCCGGCUACGUGUAGCCGGACUGAGAGUACCUGAAGAAAAAGCAUCGGCUAACUCCGUGCCAGCAGCCGCGGUAAUACGGAGGAUGCGAGCGUUAUCCGGAUUUAUUGGGUUUAAAGGGUGCGUAGGCGGAAUGCCAAGUCAGCGGUAAAAGCGCGGGGCUCAACCUCGCUCCGCAGUUGAUACUGGCGUUCUUGAGUGGGCGAGAAGUAUGCGGAAUGCGUGGUGUAGCGGUGAAAUGCAUAGAUAUCACGCAGAACUCCGAUUGCGAAGGCAGCAUACCGGCGCCCAACUGACGCUGAAGCACGAAAGCGUGGGUAUCGAACAGGAUUAGAUACCCUGGUAGUC